CUCAAAGCUGACAUAUUCUUGGUGAUGGAACUGUAGAUAGAAGCUAUAGGGAGAGAUGGAGGAAAUCAUGAGGGGAAGGAGAAUAGGCAAAAUGCCACAGGUUGCAGCAGGGGGUGCACAAUGUUAGCAGGAUUAAAUUUCCUUAGAUCUUUUGUAGAUCAGGAUUGCUUUCCUUGAUCCUACAGGAUCCUUGAGGGAUCACAGGGCAGAGAAUAGAUGUUAUUUUUUGUUGUCCCCAUCUGUCCCCAGCUAUGCAGAAUGGGGCUCUGCAAUGCUUUUUCAGCUGUUCUCUCCCUUUCAUGUGUGUUGCAGACUGGGGAGAGCUACUAAGAACACAGCUGAGUACAAGUACAAAGAAGUCACAAGAAGAGAAGAAUUGUUAUUUUCCACAUGUGAUUUCGCACACCUUCCAGAUCUGGCACCACCACCCCAGUGAUCUUGCACACCUCUUCAUCAGUCUUCUCAGUUCAAUGGGUAGCUGGUAG
This 485-nucleotide long non-coding RNA is filed under the name Anas platyrhynchos platyrhynchos (common mallard). RNAcentral describes it as "lncRNA (ENSAPLG00000029244.1)". The record is from RNAcentral. Lineage: Eukaryota; Metazoa; Chordata; Aves; Anseriformes; Anatidae.